RNAcentral lists this long non-coding RNA (5443 nucleotides) under Sus scrofa (pig). RNAcentral describes it as "lncRNA (ENSSSCG00015030864.1)". The record is from RNAcentral. Lineage: Eukaryota; Metazoa; Chordata; Mammalia; Artiodactyla; Suidae.
GACUUAUAUAAAGGUACAUCUUUUAACUUCUUUGAAGUUAUAUAUUUGCGACUUUUAUCUAAUUACUAACUUCAUCCCGUAACUGAAUGGUGCUUUUCCACAGGGAAAAAAGAGGGAAGGGAGUAAACAAACAGUCACUCCGUGAUCUGCAACGAGAUUUUUAAUUGCACGAGUCCACUAACAGAUGUCGACCAGGAGGGAACACGCUAUUUGUACCAGUUCCAGAAAACUUUGCAGUACAUGAAUAAGCUUUUCAGAAGAAUAACACACACAGUUGCUCAGACUCUUCUGAGUUUUCUCCAAUGAGUCUACAGGAUCUAUGUCUGAGCCCCUGUGGAAGGCUGGGGCUGCGACUGUCCCUCCACCCCCUCCCGAGCCUGCCUCUCCCUCCAGGAAGCCCUGAACUCACGCCACCUCCCUGGAGAACCGUGCACACGGGAACCAGGAGAAACAGGUGAUGGCGAAAUAAAAACAAGAGCUGAGCUCCCUCUUACAGGAUCCAACGCCAGGAGCAGCCGCUAAGGCUCUCACUGGGCCCGCAUCCCUAGACACACCUGCAUGAACGGGUCGACACUCAGGGGUGGGGGAUCCUUCACAGAAGCCCCUCCCCCCUCAGGGCUUGAACUUUCAGGAACCUGCAAUGACCCCCAGAGGCUGAAAGACACCUGCACCUACCACCCCACUGCUGCUGGGCACCCUGACUCCAGGUGAGGUGGAGGGGCCAGCCCAGCCCUUAGCGUCCUGCCCUCGGCCUUAACUGAGGGGUAACUGACACUUGAUAAAAAAGUUCACGCGAUUCCGAUCUCAGUUCUCCUCACACCUGCCAACCAUGAACACGUGUUCCUUUCGUUCCUCCUGGGAACAUGGAAAACAGAGCCAACAACUUCUCUCCUUCCACUCAGACACCCUGGUACCAAGAGAUACAUACUUAACUCCCAGUGGGCAGGAAGGGCCCAGGCGCCCACUGGCCAGCGGCACCCAUAAACCCUGCCCUACUGAGACGGUCGGUCUGAAGGUGGGAGCUGGGGCAGACAGUCAGCUUCCCAGGUGACUCCAACAAACAGCUGGCUUCCUGCAGGAAGGAACGAACAGGUGGUAAAACAGAGCCUGGCUGUCAGGGUGCAGGCUGAGUGCUCGCCACACCUGUGCAAGUUUCAAGGGCAGUGACAGGCACAAGCUGAACCGGCUUCCUGCAGGGACGUGCAAGGGCGACUGGCCCGGGCCCCCAGACGCCAAGUGGCUGGGACCCGGGGGGGAGGGGGGCGCUGGUGAGGGUGCCUGGGCUGAGGCACGGGGUCAGUGCCAUCGUGCUCCCCCGGACCACCCUGACAGGCAUCUCCCCCUGAGAAGCACUGCACGCCCUACAAUGGAAGCAGCCGGGGGCUCCCCUACCAGCCUUGCAGGCAAGGGUCCCAAAGGAAAAACAGGUGGGCGGGGGCCCAGGCUGCCUCGGUCGCCGUCUUUGUGGGAAGAUUGAAGGAAGUCGCGUGUUUGAAUAAAAACUAAUUUGUUUGUAAUGACCAUCUACUAUUUGGGUUUAUGGUGCCAACAAUUUCAUUAUGAUUUUAGAAGACGUUAUACCAUAAAACAUAAUUUUCAUUCUACUGAAAUACAUAAAUUCUUUGUUUAAAAUACAUCUGGACAUGUGUAAAGGGGGGAAAUGCCCCCCACCAAGACCCUCCCCAAAGGCCCCCAGGAACCACCUGCGGCCCCCUUCUACACACACUGGGACCCUCUGUUCACACGAGUGGAGUUAGAAUCUGCGAAGAGGGGAGUUCCUAUCAUGGCUCAGUGGUUAACGAAUCCGACUAGGAUCCGUGAGGAUGCAGGUUCGAUCCCUGGCCUUGCUCAGUGGGUUAAGGAUCCUGCAUUGCCGUGAGCUGUGGUGUAGGUCGCAGACACGGCUCGGAUCCCGCAUUGCUGUGGCUCCGGCGUAGGCCAGUGGCUACAGCUCCAAUUAGACUCCUAGCCUAGGAACCUCCAUGUGCCGCCGGUAGGGCCCUAGAAAAGGCAAAAAGACAAAAAGACAAAAAAAAAGANCCCCAGACGCCAAGUAACUGACACCUGCACUGGGACCCAGUCUUACUCAUUUACUCCAUUUUUACUGCGCAUCGAGCUCACCGCAUUUAGAAAGAAAUUAGGCUCUGGCCAGGUGUCCUCACAAAGGUGUGGCCGCCAGACCGUGACAGGGGCAGGGCUGCAGGGGAGACCCCAGGAAGGGCUGGGGGGGGCGGGAGGCAGAGCCCGUGCCCAGGGGAGGCCACAGCCCUUCCCUCCACACACCGCUGCCCAGAGCUAAGCCUAACUCCCCAGCCCUGAACCGCAGGCCCGCGAGGCGCCACAGACCCCCUGCCCGAUGACACAGAAUCAACCACGAAGAAGCAAAAAGACACUCUCGUUCUGACCCAGAAAGAGUGAAACGUAAUACGUAAAUCAUGGCCAUUCCACUAAAAGACAGACAAACAAGAGAUUUUCUCUGAUCUUGGAAAACUGCAAGUCUGUCUUUCCAGCCCCAAGAGUGGAAGGUUCAGGACUUCUGCACAGAAACAGGUCACCUGCCACCGGUGCCUCCUCCACCAAGCCCCUUCCGGCCGCUCCCACCGCAGAGGGACCCCAGUCACCACUCAGGGAGAACACAGAAACUGCCCUGGAAGCCCAACGCGGCCCGGCGCCAGGGCAGGGCGGGGGGUCCUUAGAAAAGGAAAGGGAGCCGGAGCCGGAGGCGAGAGCAGGUGCCACAAGGUGCUGGGCAGGGCCUGUCAGCGCUCAGGGCAGGGGCCCUGCACGUCCACUCGCUCCAGCCCCGUGCAGCCGGAGGCAAGUCCACUGGCACCUGGUUCUGCCACCUUCCAAGUCCCCACCCACUUCCGCAGAUCUGCUUCGAGCAGGAAGGUCCAAGGAUACGUCAAAUUCAGAGGCCAACUUUCUAGUCUAAAUCAGUGCCACCCACUGGACAGGAUGCUCUCAGAGACAACAGUCACUCACACGGGCCUCUGGACACCAAGUCCGAGUCCCAGCCCCUCUGCCACAGCCAGAGCCAGCCGGGCUAGGAGCGGGAGGAAGACGCCCUCCCCGGACACGGGAGCCCCGGACACAGUGAGGGAGGUGCUGCCCCCCAGCCGCCCGGCCCCCGGCUGCUCCUCCCUCCGCACUCACAGCCCCCGCGGAGGCAGGUCCUCCUGACACUAAUCUGUUGGUACCAACACCCCCCGCCGCCGGGCUUGCAGCCUAUGCGCUCUGGACGAUGUAAAUGUUGUCAUCACCCCGGGUGUCUAACGAAGACCCUGACUCAAUAAGCUGCAAAUGAAGCAAACGCUUGAGGAAGCACACAAUUCAAAAGCUCUCACACAGCAAAAAACAAUCUCUACCUCGCUUUGGAAUCAGAUGUGUUUUCACCAGUCAGAUGCACACACGUGUUUGCACAUAUACACACACUCUUCCACCUAAGUACACACCAGCAAGCCAGCAACGGCGGUGGGGGGGAAGGGGGGCGCGGCACGUUCGGCCUCUCAAAUUCCACUCUAUGUGCUGUUAAAUAGUAAACAAGCAAGUACUACAGCAAACCUCGUCCAUCUAAAUCCACAGAGAGCUUUUUAUGGUAAAGUAAUUUAUCUCCUUAAAAUAAGCCAAUAUCUCCUUUAGGAACUGUGGAAAUUCUAAUUACAACACAGAAAACAACGUAAGCACAGCUUCCAAGGUGUGACAACAGCCAGAUGCUUUUCUCAAAAAGGUCACCCAACAGCCAAGCCGAACACACGCUGCUUUUCAGCUGCUGUUCAGACGAAAGUGUCUUCACUGCCCACUUGUAAGUGGCGACAACGCUGUGACCACCUUCGCGUCUCAGGCCCACUUCACCAGGAGCUGCUUCCAAACAAAGGCCGGACCCUCAGGGUCAGCACGAGAGCAAGGACACCCCACGCUCAAGCGACAGGGAACGUGGUUAUGUGGCGACAUGUGCUCUCUUAUUUAUAGAGCCCUUUUAAUCACUUUACAUGUAACCAGUGCUGAAACAGGCUUGCAGAGUCUGAGGACACAUGGCUGGGUGGAGUAGGCGGUAGGGCAGAGAAAGGUCAGCCAAACCCCACAAAAAACAAUUAAGACUUUCCACAGUCCACAAAACAGGUGAUGUUGAGGCAAUGGAAAGGUCGCUUGGAGGGGUAGAGGCAUCUUAUUAAAAAGUCCUUUCGACAGGUCAUCAAAGAUGCACAGCAGUCAGGACCCCUACGCACACACCACGUUUCGAGGGCCCAUGGGUCAGAGAGACAACACAACAGAGGAAAGGGCGGAGGGAGAGGCAGGACAGAGCACGGCCGAGAGGCCGACGAGGAGGGAGGGACUCGGAACUGAGAGCAGGGGAAAGACAGGAAUUCAAUACGGAGCACACGGCUGGCAUCACGGAGAAAGCGGGGGGCAGUCGAAGGUCCAGAUGACAACGAUGACAAGGCGAACACUUCAGCUGAGCCUACAGCCGAGCCUCUGGCUGGCUCCAUAGGAUGAAGACAUCAAAAAAUAGUUAAUUCACAAAGCAGUGAAGUGAUUCAGCCACAGGUAACCAAAUUAAAAUAAUCCACUAAAAGUCAAAUUGUAUCAUUCUUUAAGAUUAUCAUGCAGAUAAGACAGCUUUAGAUUUAAAAUAAACUGGAAAGGACCUUGUUUCCCUUAAUUCUACAGGUGUGGCCAAGGCCGAGUGGCUGUGGCAGCUAACAGAACAGGUGCAAUAGUAAAUGCACAAAAAUACCUGGAGACAGAUAAUCCAUGUUCUCUGAUUAAGCGAGUCAUGCGGUUUCCAGUAAGUGGGUGAAGCAGCCAUACUUCUAACGAGCAACUGUGGUAAACACCCAGAACACAAAACCAUCGUUGUUCUGGGAUUUGCUUAUUUAAGACGAGAUACUGGAAUAUCUACCUUAGUAAGAAGGAGCUACAUGGUUUCUGACCAAGAAUAGGAGGUUUUCUCUGUCCAGAAGCACUGUUCAAAUGGCCCAUCCUACAGCAAAGGCAGUGAUACAUCCACACACGUAUAGACACCAUCUUGGACCCAUGAAUUCAAAAUUCUGGGGCAAAUGGGAGUAGUCAGGGAAUCGGGAGGGUGUAAAUAGCGGGACUAGGACAGAUGUUCUAGAAUAUUCCGGAGACCAUGUCCCAGGAUGGCCAGGCACACACCGAUCUUAUCCACCUUAAACAUGGUCAUUCCUGCCAACAUUUAUCUGGAUUACGAUUUUGUUUUAUUUACAUAAAAGAAAGGAAGACAGAUUUGUCCUAAAGGAUUAUCUAAUCACUGGAUUAUUUUCACUUGAUUAUGAGUAAUCUCUAAAUAGCUUCCCUCAAGGAUCUAAAAAUAAGAUAACAAAAGAAAGCCACAACCCCAGCAACUUUAUUAAGCAUAUUAUCAUCAGGAAAAUAAGGGAUCUUUUUUGAGACAACAGGUUCCUAAAAUACCCUUCAU